RNAcentral lists this ribosomal RNA (506 nucleotides) under uncultured bacterium. RNAcentral describes it as "bacterial SSU rRNA". It matches the Rfam family "Bacterial small subunit ribosomal RNA", at positions 19 to 518 of the family's 1533-position model. The record is from RNAcentral.
AUGGCUCAGGAUGAACGCUAGCGGCAGGCUUAACACAUGCAAGUCGAGGGGCAACGCGAGUAGCAAUACUUGGCGGCGACCGGCGCAAGGGUGCGUAACGCGUGAGCAACAUGCCCGUAUCAGGGGGAUAAUCCAGGGAAACUUGGUCUAAUACCCCAUAGUAAUUUUGUAAGGCAUCUUAUAAGAUUUAAAGCUUUGGUGGAUACGGAUUGGCUCGCGUGACAUUAGCUGGAUGGUAAGGUAACGGCUUACCAUGGCUAUGAUGUCUAGGGGUUCUGAGAGGAAGGUCCCCCACACUGGAACUGAGACACGGUCCAGACUCCUACGGGAGGCAGCAGUGAGGAAUAUUGGACAAUGGAUGGAAAUCUGAUCCAGCCAUGCCGCGUGAAGGAAAAGAAGGUCCUAUGGAUUGUAAACUUCUUUUGUAUGGGAGCAAUAAGGCCUACGAGUAGGUUGAUGAGAGUACCAUACGAAUAAGCACCGGCUAACUCCGUGCCAGCAGCCGC